This 430-nucleotide ribosomal RNA is filed under the name uncultured bacterium. RNAcentral describes it as "partial 16S ribosomal RNA". It matches the Rfam family "Bacterial small subunit ribosomal RNA", at positions 29 to 504 of the family's 1533-position model. The record is from RNAcentral.
AGCGAACGCUGGCGGCAGGCUUAACACAUGCAAGUCGAGCGGGCCUUUCGGGGUCAGCGGCGGACGGGUGAGUAACGCGUGGGAACGUGCCCUCUGGUUCGGAAUAACUCAGGGAAACUUGAGCUAAUACCGGAUACGCCCUUUUGGGGAAAGGCUUGCUGCCGGAGGAUCGGCCCGCGUCUGAUUAGCUAGUUGGUGAGGUAACGGCUCACCAAGGCGACGAUCAGUAGCUGGUCUGAGAGGAUGAUCAGCCACACUGGGACUGAGACACGGCCCAGACUCCUACGGGGGGGAGCAGUGGGGAAAAUUGGACAAUGGGAGCAAGCCUGAUCCAGCCAUGCCGCGUGAGUGAUGAAGGCCUUGGGGUUGUAAAGCUCUUUUAUCCGGGACGAUAAUGGCGGUACCGGAGGAAUAAGCCCCGGCUAACUUC